UGGACUCAUGGCGGACGGGUGAGUAACGCGUAAAGAACUUGCCCUUUAGACUGGGAUAACAGAGGGAAACUUCUGAUAAUACUGGAUAAGUUAGUAUAUCGCAUGAUAUGCAAAUGAAAGCUACGGCACUAAAGGAGAGCUUUGCGUCCUAUUAGCUAGUUGGUAAGGUAAGAGCUUACCAAGGCGAUGAUAGGUAGCCGGCCUGAGAGGGUGGACGGCCACAAGGGGACUGAGAUACGGCCCUUACUCCUACGGGAGGCAGCAGUGGGGAAUAUUGGACAAUGGAGGGAACUCUGAUCCAGCAAUUCUGUGUGUGUGAAGAAGGUUUUAGGACUGUAAAACACUUUUAGUAGGGAAGAAAAAAAUGACGGUACCUACAGAAGAAGCAACGGCUAAAUACGUGCCAGCAGCCGCGGUAAUACGUAUGUUGCGAGCGUUAUCCGGAAUUAUUGGGCUUAAAGGGCAUCUAGGCGGUAAGACAAGUUGAAGGUGAAAACCUGUGGCUCAACCAUAGGCUUGCCUACAAAACUGUUGAACUAGAGUACUGGAAAGGUGGGUGGAACUACACGAGUAGAGGUGAAAUUCGUAGAUAUGUGUAGGAAUGCCGAUGAUGAAGAUAACUCACUGGACAGAAACUGACGCUGAAGUGCGAAAGCUAGGGGAGCAAACAAGAUUAGAUACCCUGGUAGUCCUAGCUGUAAACGAUGAUCACUGGG
RNAcentral lists this ribosomal RNA (716 nucleotides) under uncultured bacterium. RNAcentral's name for it is "bacterial SSU rRNA". It matches the Rfam family "Bacterial small subunit ribosomal RNA", at positions 88 to 820 of the family's 1533-position model. The record is from RNAcentral.